Molecule: long non-coding RNA, 2629 nt
Organism: Alligator sinensis (Chinese alligator)
Lineage: Eukaryota; Metazoa; Chordata; Crocodylia; Alligatoridae
Exons: 5
Source: RefSeq, a predicted model, not a curated record
CAAUCAUCUUUAUGAAACAAAAAUGACAACAGGAAUAAAGAUACAUGUGCUAAGCUUGCUAUAUGAUAGAUUGCAGUAAAAACCAAAAGAGAAAUUCAUCAAUUAACAAAAGGGGAUGGAACAAAAUGUGAAUCAACAGCAGGCAUGCUGCUCUGUUAAAAACAUGUAAAUUGGCAUGCUUCAGUGUCCCUUUGGAGAGGAUUUUGGCAAGAUACUACACGCACCACAUUUGCCCUUAUACACUAAAAACCUUAUCUUGAAGUGACAUUGACAGACAAAUCCAUCAGCACUUAAGUAGUAGUGUAAGAAUAUUGUCCUUUUUGGGGGAAAAUGAGUUCACAACGUUUACUUUGCUCUUUGUUCAGUCUUCCCUUUCCAUCUGUUUUGCUUCUCAGAUGGAAAAACCAUCAGCAUGUGAUCAGCCAAGUCUCUCCAGACCUAUGAAGGGAUCAGUCACCAUUCACCUUGUUAGCUGAGGCCGAAUGGAGCCCAGAAAUCUGCAGUAUGAUGGGUGAUUGUCCUCAUUCCAGAUGAAGUUGUGACCUGCAGCCUAAAGGAGUAUUACAUAAAAGUAAUACUCCACCAGGCAAGAAGCCAUGCUGCUUGGCACCAGAGCGAGCGUUGUAUGCUGAGAGCUGUAUAUCAGUUCUGAAGGGAGGAGCAAUCUACUCCAUUUAAAACACAGACUCCCCCGUGCCCUGCAUGCUCAAGCAUCUUGGGGGCCAGUGACAGCAUAUCUAGCUUGUUGACAACAGGUGGCCUCUUCCUCCAAAUGGAGCUGAACACGGUUUGACCUGACUUGACCCUUGGAGUAGAUGGGGCCAAGUCACUUUAACACUCAUUACACAAAGCAUGCCAGACUUUCAAUCCACCAGGGCUCUAACAAGCCCUUUGUAACAGGUGUUGAAAAUGCCUUUGUCCACAAUUGUAACCAGUCUGUUUCAGCCCUAGUCGAUGGAAGUUGAGGAAGAACUGUGGUUGACUGUAGUUACCAUCUACAGGUCAUUUUCCUGGUAUAUAAGUAACCGUAAGGCACCGAAUGCAUUUAGCAAGUCACUGAACUUCAGCAUAGUACAAGUUUCCCUUGCCAACCACGGGAGUUAGGUUCCUGAAAGUUACUGUGGUUGGCAAAACCGGCAGGGCUGGGGGAGCAGGGGCUGUGGGUGGGCGGUGAGGGGCACCAGCAAGGCUGUAGGGGCUGUAGGGGGGAGUGCAAGGCAUGAGCAGGGCCAGGGAGGCCAUGGGGGGUAUUUUCAGACUGUACCCCACCUUCUCUGAAGCAUGGAUACUCAAAACUGUGGUUGGCGAGGGAAACCUGUAGUAACUACACCAUGGCAGGAUGUUCACUCCAAGCCCAGGCCCUCAUUUAAAAUGGUACACAUGUUUAUGUGUAACUUUAACCACAGGAGUUCAUUGAGCACCAAGUAUAUUAAGCUCUGACUUCAACUGCCAUGUGCUUAAAUGCACUGGAUCGGGCCUCAGAAUGUAAUAGGAGCCCCAAAGAUGCAUUAAUGCCAGGAUUCAUGCACUUGGAGCAGUUCACCACUUAUCCGAUAUGCUACAUUUCUCACAGGCUGGAAAGCGGCACCUUUAUUCUUACCUUUAGUUCACAGUCUUCAUUCACAGCCAGAUUGCCUGGCUUUAGGUCCUGAGACAGACAAAAUCAGAAUAGUCAGAACACGUUGGAUUGCAACUCACUACCCAAGAUACCAAUGUGAUAAGUUCAGCACCCAUAUAAAUUACAAGGACCUUUCUUUCCUGGAGCUCUUUCAUGUAAGGAGUGUCACAAAAUGUAACAUUUUAUCGAAAUAUUGCUGAGAUAUUAGAGCAAAGCCAGGCGUACAUAAGGCAGGAGGGAAUAAAAUGAGACAGCCAAAGAGAAGGGGGUUUUAGUCUAGGGAGUACUUAGGGAGGCAAAGACAAUGUUCAGGGACCCGGCAGAAGCUGUUAACUUUAUGGCUGAGUUGUGGUUCUCUCUGAACGGAAAUAAAAUUAGAGUAAUGAAGCACAGGGACUUACCCUGUGAAUGAUUCCAGCAGAAUGAAUAUACUGCAAUAAAAAGGGAAGCCACAGUGUGAUCACCAGCCAAUAAAUCUUUCCUUUCCCCAAAGGAGAAACACAUGUUACAAGCAGGAGUCUGCCUGCUGAGACCAAAACAACUUGAAUUCUUCCUCUCCAAGACCCGUGCCCUCAAUCCUGUGACUCUACUGUACAGAUCACAGCUAUGGAGGAAAAACAACUGCUGCUAAAAGAUAAAUGGCAAGCUAAAAUGAUGGAGUGAAGGUAAAAAGCAUGUUGAAAUAAAUAAAUGAGCUGGAAUCAGUACUGAAGAGGGGAUGACAGGAGAAAAACCUCUUGUGAUGAUGAAAGAACACAGAGAAGCUGUUCCAAGAGCACUGUACAUCAAUACUGUAGAAAGAAACAUCCCAGUGGUUCCCAGCAGAGGACAGCAAAUCCUAACUCCAUACAUUUCCAUUCAUGCUUCCCCCAGGAAUUGAACACCAAAAUUGAGCCUAUAGUAUACAGCAUUCAUUGAACAGGUAAUUGUGAUACCACUUGACUUACUCACCUGUAUCUAGUUCCCUUGUCUGGGAAUUUCUACAGUAGCUGAGAACCUUUCUUUAAAAGC